Non-coding RNA from Pan troglodytes (chimpanzee), 148 nucleotides. It matches the Rfam family "Metazoan signal recognition particle RNA". Rfam says of the family: The signal recognition particle (SRP) is a universally conserved ribonucleoprotein. It is involved in the co-translational targeting of proteins to membranes. The eukaryotic SRP consists of a 300-nucleotide 7S RNA and six proteins: SRPs 72, 68, 54, 19, 14, and 9. The record is from Rfam. NCBI's taxonomy places the organism in Eukaryota, Metazoa, Chordata, Mammalia, Primates, Hominidae.
GCCGGGCAUAGUGAUGCAUGCCUGUAAUCCCAGCUACUCAGGAGGCUGAGGCAGAAGAAUUGCUUGAACCCAGGAGGUGGUGGUUGCAGUGAGCCGAGAUCACACCACUGCACUCCAGCCUGGGCAACAGAGUGAGACUCUGUCUCAA